This 507-nucleotide ribosomal RNA is filed under the name Shimia sp. Its description in RNAcentral is "bacterial SSU rRNA". It matches the Rfam family "Bacterial small subunit ribosomal RNA", at positions 378 to 903 of the family's 1533-position model. Lineage: Bacteria; Pseudomonadati; Pseudomonadota; Alphaproteobacteria; Rhodobacterales; Roseobacteraceae. The record is from RNAcentral.
GCAGCCUGAUCCAGCCAUGCCGCGUGAGUGAUGAAGGCCUUAGGGUCGUAAAGCUCUUUCGCCAGGGAUGAUAAUGACAGUACCUGGUAAAGAAACCCCGGCUAACUCCGUGCCAGCAGCCGCGGUAAUACGGAGGGGGUUAGCGUUGUUCGGAAUUACUGGGCGUAAAGCGUACGUAGGCGGGUUGUUAAGUUAGAGGUGAAAUCCCAGGGCUCAACCCUGGAACUGCCUUUAAUACUGGCAACCUAGAGUUCGAGAGAGGUGAGUGGAAUUCCGAGUGUAGAGGUGAAAUUCGUAGAUAUUCGGAGGAACACCAGUGGCGAAGGCGGCUCACUGGCUCGAUACUGACGCUGAGGUACGAAAGUGUGGGGAGCAAACAGGAUUAGAUACCCUGGUAGUCCACACCGUAAACGAUGAAUGCCAGUCGUCGGGUAGCAUGCUAUUCGGUGACACACCUAACGGAUUAAGCAUUCCGCCUGGGGAGUACGGUCGCAAGAUUAAAACUCA